AGGACGAACGCUGGCGGCGUGCCUAACACAUGCAAGUCGAGCGAGGAGAUCCUUCGGGAUGAUCCUAGCGGCGGACGGGUGAGUAACACGUGGGCAACCUGCCUCAUAGAGAGGAAUAGCCUUCCGAAAGGGAGAUUAAUACCUCAUAACAUUGCAGUUUCGCAUGGAACAGCAAUUAAAGGAGUAAUCCGCUAUGAGAUGGGGCCCCGCGGCGCAUUAGCUAGUUGGUGAGGUAACGGCUCACCAAGGCGACGAUGCGUAGCCGACCUGAGAGGGUGAUCGGCCACAUUGGGACUGAGACACGGCCCAGACUCCUACGGGAGGCAGCAGUGGGGAAUAUUGCACAAUGGGGGAAACCCUGAUGCAGCCAACGCCGCGUGAGUGAUGACGGCCUUCGGGUUGUAAAGCUCUGUCUUCAGGGACGAUAAUGACGGUACCUGAGGAGGAAGCCACGGCUAACUACGUGCCAGCAGCUGC
Molecule: ribosomal RNA, 477 nt
Filed under: uncultured bacterium
Lineage: Bacteria
Description: bacterial SSU rRNA
Rfam family: Bacterial small subunit ribosomal RNA
Source: RNAcentral